AUUGAACGCUGGCGGCAUGCCUUACACAUGCAAGUCGAACGGCAGCGCGGACUUCGGUCUGGCGGCGAGUGGCGAACGGGUGAGUAAUACAUCGGAACGUACCCUGUUGUGGGGGAUAACUAGUCGAAAGAUUAGCUAAUACCGCAUACGACCUGAGGGUGAAAGUGGGGGACCGCAAGGCCUCACGCAGCAGGAGCGGCCGAUGUCUGAUUAGCUAGUUGGUGGGGUAAAGGCCCACCAAGGCGACGAUCAGUAGCUAGUCUGAGAGGACGAUCAGCCACACUGGGACUGAGACACGGCCCAGACUCCUACGGGAGGCAGCAGUGGGGAAUUUUGGACAAUGGGGGCAACCCCGAUCCAGCAAUGCCGUGUGUGUGAAGAAGGCCUUCGGGUUGUAAAGCACUUUUGUCCGGAAAGAAAUCGCGCUGGUUAAUACCUGGCGUGGAUGACGGUACCGGAAGAAUAAGCACCGGCUAACUACGUG
RNAcentral lists this ribosomal RNA (484 nucleotides) under uncultured bacterium. RNAcentral's name for it is "partial 16S ribosomal RNA". It matches the Rfam family "Bacterial small subunit ribosomal RNA", at positions 30 to 507 of the family's 1533-position model. The record is from RNAcentral.